This 424-nucleotide long non-coding RNA is filed under the name Gouania willdenowi (blunt-snouted clingfish). Its description in RNAcentral is "lncRNA (ENSGWIG00000018070.1)". The record is from RNAcentral. Lineage: Eukaryota; Metazoa; Chordata; Actinopteri; Blenniiformes; Gobiesocidae.
UGAAAUUGUGUUGCUCUGUAACAUGUACAAUGUCAAAUAAAGUUGAUUCUGAUGUUUGCUAUUGGCUGAGAACCAGAUCAUGUGACGUUUUGGGAUCAUCUUGUGACACAAACAAGCACUGUUAGCCCCGCCCCUUUUAUAAAAACUAGCACCUCUGUUUAAUAUUUUUAUAUAAAGAAGAAGAAGACGCGGCGGACAGAAAGUGACCACAGGCUGUUUCCGGUGUCAUGGCGGCUCUGUGUUGGGGUCGCAUGGCUGUUUCUUUGCUUUCCUGAAACUUCAUCCAAACAAGAAACAAACCGAGAAGAAUGGGAUCAAACUGAAAAAGACGGCAGUGGAAGACGACGACGCCGUCGUGAGGCUUGAUGCACAGCUGAUAAAGGCCUGCGGAGGGCGCACCGCACACAAGUACGUCUGAGAUUAA